GUCAUGCUCAAAGCAGAGUCAGAUAUGAGGUUCGGCAGGGUUGCCCAGAGUUUUUAAGUCUGAUUGUGAAAAACUUCAAGAAUAGAGAUGGCACAACAUCUUUGGCAACCUAUUGGAAUGUUUGACUGACCUGGUGGAGAAAAAGGCUGUGCUCCUGCUGUAAAUCCGGAGUUGUGACUUCUUUGCUGUCAGGACACGCUGCUGGCUAAUGUUCUGCAUGUUGUCUACAAAAUCUCUAUAUCCUUUUCAGUGAAUCUCCAUGCUCCUCAGCAUGUCAGUCUCUAGCCUGUAUCCCUGCAAACAAUGAUGUCUUUCUAGAUUUUUUCACUUCUACAAAAGAAGUAGCCCAAGGGGAUUUAAAAGCAGAAAAAGCAAAGUCACUGCCGCUUCCAGACUCAGAGAGGGGCAGCAGAAAGCACAGGGUGUCAUGUUUGCAGGAAGUAUAGAG
Long non-coding RNA from Passer domesticus (house sparrow), 448 nucleotides. RefSeq lists it as uncharacterized. The record is from RefSeq and is a predicted model, not a curated record. NCBI's taxonomy places the organism in Eukaryota, Metazoa, Chordata, Aves, Passeriformes, Passeridae. The transcript is spliced from 3 exons.